Long non-coding RNA from Numida meleagris (helmeted guineafowl), 3278 nucleotides. RefSeq lists it as uncharacterized. The transcript is spliced from 3 exons. Lineage: Eukaryota; Metazoa; Chordata; Aves; Galliformes; Numididae. The record is from RefSeq and is a predicted model, not a curated record.
AGAAGAAGCAAUGAUAAGGCAGUAUAGUGCAACUCACUAUGUGAUAUUAGAAGAGAAACAAGAAUGCGGUUAGAUCUUCCAUGGCAAUUGAAUGAUGACAUUCAGACACAGGGGAAAGGCUUGUUUUGUCUUUUACAUCGUGGAUAUUCAGCUGGAACAUUUUGCUCGACUGCAUAUUUGAAAGAAGUUCCUUUGGGAGCCAUGAUGAAGCAAAACCAUUUAGCUAUUACAACCGGAGAUUAAAAAAAAUUAUAGAUUCAGUAUUUAAAACACUUUAAAAGUAUAUGUUUGUCUAAAAUAUAAUAGAAAAUUCUUUACAUUUGUAUUUUUUCUUAAUUUUUUUUUUGGUUCUUAGACUAUAUAAUCAAGUCAAGAUUUACACUGUACAUUAAAAAUCUUCUUUUGAAUGUAUUUGCAUAAAUGGAAAGAGAGCUGUUCAAGAAUACUGAUAAAAAAGUUAGUUACCAAGAUAAGAACUAAUUCAGAAAUGACCCUCAGAAUUUUGCUUUUCCUUCCAAAAGGGCCUUGCUCCUGACAGUGCCUCUCACUUCACUUGUUUAGCUCUCCUUCCCACUCUGAGAAGAGUCACCCUACUAAAACCCAUGACUCCUCUCACAACCAAGAAACAGCAGCUGAGGACAAGAACCUCAUUUCAGAAUGAAGCGUGUUCUGGGCUGGAGUGUCUGCUAAGAAUAGCAUGAAUUAUCUUUUGCUAUUAAAGAUGCAGUUUGAAAAUUUUGAACGUUCAUCGCCAAUUCCAAGCCUGGUCUGCUCCCUGGGGCAGACGAAGGAGGUAUCACCACUGCCAGCCUUGAGAGCAAAACCAGGUCCCAGGAUAUUGAAAGGCAGCGUAAUUAACUGGCAUCAUCUCCCUCUGAUUUCCCCAUCAAUCACUGCUACUACUCUGGGAUGCAAAUCCGUUGUGCUGAGGGGCAGGCACAUAGUCCAAACAAAAACCUUAAUUGUGGCAUAAAGCCCCUUUACAGACCCUCUUUGCAGGACUGAAUUUUAUCCAGUGAGUGCAGUGGAAUUUGCCAUUCUUGCAGCACUUCUCAGUGGCUGCACACUUUAUAAAAAAUUUUUUAGCGUCAUUAUGAGACAAUUCCUUACCCACUGUAAACUGGCAUAAGUGCCAUUACGGUCAGUGAAGCCCCACUGAUGUCUGCCAGCUCAGAGCCAGUCCAUGUACAUCCAAGGGCAUGCCUGCAGAGACCAGGACUUUCCCUGGUAAUUAAAAGUGGCGUUUUUCCAACUGGUCAGAAUGGUUACACUGAUUUAUUUUUCAUUUAUAGCCUGUGAAAUCUGAGGCUGUUAGCUUUCGGUGCUAGAACAAUGUAAGCAGGUUAGGGAACAGAACUUUUCUGAAUUAUAUACUACAUGGAUUUGCUAUGUUAACGACUGGCAGUGCUAAAGAAUUGCUGUAAUUCUCAGGUGUUACUUGCUAUGCCUGCACUGUGCCACAGCCAUUUACCUCAGCAGCUUACACGACUCCUAGCAUCAACACAGCUGGCUUUCAAUCUUGCUUCACCUGCAACUGCACUGCUUUCGCCUUUCCCUGUUUAUUAAAAGCACUAAAUCAGGAGCAUUUCUAUUUUUCAAAACAGAAAAGCUCGGUGCGGCCCAGCUGUGGGUGAAGAGCUAGUGAAAGCAGCAGCCGUGCUGGCAGUUUUUAGUGACAUCACCCAGACCUUCCUCUUCUGUCUGCAGCGUGUGGCAGCGGCUCGGUUCCUCUCCAGAAAUUUCCUCCUCCUCUCAUCGGGGUCUUCAUCCACCACCCUUCUCCGACGGCCUCCAGUGGGCUGCGGCGGCUGUAUCGUCUGCGUGGGCUGCAUCUGCUGUGCGGCCGGCGAAACCUGUCAAGGAGAGGAUUGACAUGGCAGUGGGGUGGGGGAAAGGAAGAGGGAGGGAGGCUGAGGCAUGGGGAGCAUCUCCCACAGUUGCCCGGUUGGAUAGCGGGCCAGGAGAGGCACGCGUUGAAAGACACUGCCAGAUGCCACUAGUGUUAGCUGUUGGCAAAGGGUUGCAUUGGUUGAAGGGGAGAUUUUUUGAAAUGAUUCUCUGAAUAUUAGUAGGAAAAAUAUUUUUCCCUUACACCUAGUCAUUAAAAACUUUUCACUUAGGUAUUUUCUCUGCCACCAUCUAUUUCAAAGCUGAAAUGUCAAGUUUCUCUCAGCAACCCUUUUAAAUCAAAGCAGAAGACUGUAGGGGCCUUAUUUCUGUCUCUCUUUUUUCUUGUUUUUUGGUAAUUGAUUCUGAAAUUUUGGGACAUUCCUUUUACACAUGCUCUUCCACCUCUGCUUGGUACCUCAUAGACUCUGGAGAUGGGAGAUACAAGUGCUCUGCCCGUCUGAGCACACCUGGGAAGCUAUGCGCAAGGGUGGUGGAGCCAGGAGACCUCAGUGCCCAUGAGAUGGAGUUGGAAUAAAGGAAUUAGGUAUCAGCACACACGUGGGUCUUGAAGGGAGGCUGGUAUCUCAUGGAGGUACUGCUGUAUCCUCCUUCUCAGGCAUUUCUAUGUGCCCUCUUUUUGAUCACAGAAUCAUAGAAUCACCAAGGUUGGAAAAGUCCUCUAAGAUCAUCCAGUCCAACCGUCCACCUAUCACCAAUAUUUCUGACUAUAUUAAAUGUUUCUUGAACACAUGCUACACUUCUUUUUAUUAUUAUUUAUUUGACAACAGUCAUGAAAACCACUCCCAAACCCUCUGCUAUGAAAACAUGGAAAACCACAUAUUUAUACCUAUUCAAGUGAAGGAGAGUAUCAAUCUUGCUUCUGAAAGUAACUUGCCUAUUCCCUUACAGAGGAAGCUUGUGAUGGAGCUGGCCCCCACCAGGCUGUGCUCUGACUUUUCUGGAUGAAAUACUCGCCUAUGUUCUGGUGAGGAAUGAGUAUCAGACUUCAUGUUCUGUGUUUCUAAAAUCAAUAGGUGCUGCUUGGGAAUAACCAGCUCUCAGACUGCUUUCCUGCUUCACCAUGGUGCCCAGGCCCUUCUGCUUUGGGUUUUGCUUGGGGUUCGGAUCCGAUUGCUGAAGCACAGCCGCAACUCCUGCUACUUUUGCACCAGUGGAGUCUGGAAUUGUCCAGAAACCUGAAUUGUUGACUCAAACUUAACCUUGCUGUUCUGGCAAAGGCCCAAACCUCCAAGGUACUUCCUUUUGACUUCAGGGAGUGGACGUACUCAGUGCUUUGUCAGAUGGAGUCCUGAAUUUCAACUGCAGCAAUUAACAUUUGUUUGCUUAACACGUAUGUCUGUCUCAAUUAAAAUGAUACUAUCAUCUUG